GACUUAUUGCCCUUAAUUUACACAUAUUGACCUAAUAGCACUCUGUCCUUCUAGGGUAUUUUUCAGUCAGCAUUCAAAUCAAGCCUAUGGAUUCCCUGCCCCAUCACACCUGCCAGAGCCUGCUCACAUACCCUCCAUUUCAUUUCCUGAUGGCCAUAUUGAUGAAGACUUAAAUGCCCCAUUGGAUUUUCUGGUCAUGGAUGGAUGUAGUUAGAAGAGAGCUACUUUGUCACGGCAGCCUUGAGAUCCAGGCACUGCUCAGGUAAUGACUGGUUAUUUUUAGAAUCUUCACUCUGUGAUUUAUGUUCUGUUUGUAUGCCCUGCGAAUUGAGCUGUGUGGGAGCUGUGCUGCAAUACAGAGAGAGACGAG
Molecule: long non-coding RNA, 370 nt
Filed under: Monodelphis domestica (gray short-tailed opossum)
Lineage: Eukaryota; Metazoa; Chordata; Mammalia; Didelphimorphia; Didelphidae
Description: lncRNA (ENSMODG00000033853.2)
Source: RNAcentral